This is a non-coding RNA of Caenorhabditis elegans, 116 nucleotides long. NCBI's taxonomy places the organism in Eukaryota, Metazoa, Nematoda, Chromadorea, Rhabditida, Rhabditidae. The record is from Ensembl.
GAUGCGCGGGAUGAGAUAACUCCACGUGGAUUUGACCUGAAUACCUUUGAAUGAUAACGGAAUGAUAAAGAAGACGGAAGGAAAUAUUAGAGGGAAUUAGGUCACAAUACUUGAUU